CUGAAGAAAAUGUCAGCGAUCUGGAUGUGACCGUGGAAAGAGGACGCGUGACUGGAGGAGACAGAGGAUGAGGAAAAGCUUUAUUUGAGGAGCAUCAUCGGCCACUCCAACCCUUCCUGCAAAUUGGUAUUACUUCUGGGAUCCAUUUGCUUUGAUUCUUCCCCACCCCCCAUUAAAAAAUCUUGACUUGAGGACCAGCCCCUGCCACGAGGGGGGACGCCUCCUGGGUUGGCAGACCUUUUGGAUGUAGCGCUGUCGGAACAUUUCAGACCCUCUCCUCUGGAAAAGCCACCAUGAAUUCGGUAGCUGGGAAUAAAGAGAGGCUUGCGGUUUCCACCAGGGGCAAGAAAUACGGGGUGAAUGAAGUCUGUUCGCCCACCAAGCCGGCGGCGUCCUUCUCCCCCGAGAGCUGGUACCGCAAGGCGUUCGAGGAGUCGCGCGCCGGGAGCCGGCCCACCCCCGAGGGCGCGGGCUCCGCGCUCGGCUCAUCAGGGACUCCAUCCCCC
Molecule: long non-coding RNA, 506 nt
Filed under: Nannospalax galili (Upper Galilee mountains blind mole rat)
Lineage: Eukaryota; Metazoa; Chordata; Mammalia; Rodentia; Spalacidae
Description: lncRNA (ENSNGAG00000024517.1)
Source: RNAcentral